GAAAGGUUUGAGGGUAUAUAGUCAGAAAAUAUUAAUAAAGAAAGAGAUAGAGUCACACACGAGAAAGGCAUUGCCUAGCCAGGUACUAUAGGGACGACAGGCCCGACUAGAAUUGCUCCGCCGUUUGCUUGCAUGCUCGUUGUAUGCUGGAAAUACAUGCAAAGCGAGAGGUUUAUAUACCGAAAGACUGCUACGUUUCUGAUGCCCGGAUGAUCCUCAGUGGUCUGGGGUGCAGGCUUCAAACCUGUAGCUGUUUAGCGACAGAGUGGUUCAAUUCCACCUUUCGGGCGAAUGAGCAAACGCAUUUAAUUGUUUAUUUUCAGAAAAACGAAUGUGCAGUGGUUUAAAACAAGUAGUGGCAAAAUUGUGCAGGUUUUGUUUUUUUAAAAGAGAAACAGCAGCAUACGUUACUUGUUUUCUUCUCAUGUUCUGAACCUGCCUCCAUUGGUAUACAGUAUAUCACGGGUAACCACCAUAACAUGGAAGCAGGGAGCCAUUAAAAACUGUCAAUACUAUAAAACAGCAGCUGUCUUCAACUGAAAUGCUAAAUUCUCAGAAGCAGCAGGUAAGGUGGUAAGUCUGCUGGCUGUACCUGUUCACCUUACAGGAGGGGAUUCUUAUCUGCAUGUUUCUUCAUACAAACCGACAAAAUAAAAAUUAGCAUUCCAGGAAAGCGUCCAAAAUACUGUAUAGUAACAAGAGAUGUGGAGGCUAGGCGGGGAAAAAACCAGCAUUAGGUAACUAAAUAAGCUUCCAUGUUAAUUUUGCAAAGCUGUAACUUUUUUAUUCACCCCUUACUUCAAGCGGUGAAGUUACUUCAAACUGCGGAACAUUAGAAAAAGAGCAGUCAGUCCUCACACUGCUGCUGCAAAUCAGGUUUAAGAAGCCUGGACUUUUUACUUUUGAUAACCAUUAUGAAAUUUGCAUAAGAGGAGAUCUCUACUCAAUCCUCAUUAAGGCAGAUGGGCAAAUAUUGUAUUUAUGCUUUAGAACCCUUCAGUGAUUUAUCCUCACAACACACCUGAAAGGGAGACUGAAGUGAGGCCAAGCAAUAACUGUAUUGGCCAAACCGGGAUUUUAGCUGAUAACACCAGAACGGGACUGGCAGCUAUUUCUAUUAUUUGCAAAUUAUAAUUAUUACACUUGUAUUAUUUCAGUGUCAGGAGCUGAAGUGGGGUGUACAUGCUUCUCCCCCUUCCUGUUUUAUGGUUGAGAGACAGUGAUCGUCCAGAGAUCACCCAGUGACCUUCAUGGCUAACUGGGAGUUUCAACUCCGGGUCUCUAAGAUCCUAGCUCAAUGCUCUAACCACUACACCAUGCUGUCUCUCUGGUGGGUUAGGAUCAUAUUGUGCUGGUGAUCUGUCAAUUGCACUAACUUCUGGGCUCAAUUAAAAGUGCUUGUCUUAACCUUGUAAACUCCUUUUUGGCCUGGGUCUAGGGUUUCUAAUGGCCUGUGUCAGAUCUUUAACAAAGUUUUUUUGUCUUCCAACCAUCCGAGAUGGGACAGUGGUUACCAGGGAGAUGGCAAGUUGGUGGUGGCUCCCCAAUUAUGCUAUUUCAGCAUCUAACAUUUGUUUGUCUUUUCCCAGGCUUUUCCUGAUUUAAUUUAAUUUAAUCCAUUUUAUCUCUGUGCUGGGCUGAUGGGUUCUUGCUGCUCAUUUAGAGUCUGCUGCUCUUGGUAACAUUCUUUAUAUACUUUAAUUGUUGUAAUUAUAUUUUGAUCCUUUGUACGACACCCUGGAAACUUGUUCCAAGGAUGAGAGCUGAAAAUCUCUGUAAUAAAUGCAUACAACAAUAGAUAACCUCCCAGGUCCAAAGUUAACUGUUCCUUGUCCAUGAUCCCAAUGUUGCUGCUUUCUGAACCAGCAAAUUAGUUCCACAUUUUUAAAAGGUGAUGUAGGAAGGAUUGUUACAUGGGCAGCCAGCAUGUGACCCAGUGCUGUGAAUGAUGUGGGCAGGCAAGCUGGGUUUUGUGGCACUCCUGGAGGGCCAGCAGGCCUUAGUUAUAGCACAGAAUCAGACCCACCUAUUGCAAUGGCCUGGAUUAGGACCCAUAAACUAAAGCUGGGUCCCAACAAGAUGAAGGUUCUGUGGGUCAGUGGUUCUCGGACCCAGGAAUGAGGUGGGUAGCCUGUUCUGUGGUUAGGUGUGUGUCAAGCUGCACAAGGAUAGCCUGGUCUUAAUUAUCCACAGACUAAUAGCCUCUCGUAUAGACUACAGCGAUGCACUCUACAUGGGGCUUCCCUUGAAAAUAGUCCAGAAGUUGCAGCUGGUGCAGAAUACUGCAGCCAAGUUGUUAUUGGGCUGCCGUCAUAGCAGUCCAAUGCCAAAGGUACUGCACUGUAGACUACCUGGCCCAAUUCAAGGUGUUGAUGGAAUGCAAUGCCCUAAAUGACCUGGGUUCUGUUUACAUGACAUUAUAUGUUUCCUAAUAUCCAUCACCCCAAGUCUUAAGAUCUGCCAGAGAGACAUUGUUUUGUGAUCUUGAGGACCAGCGUAGCAGCAAGGUGGUGACACCAAACAUGGCCUUCUCAGUGGUGGUGCCUUGUUUAUGGAACCCUCCCCAUUGAGAUACGGCAGUUGUCCACACUAGCUAUAUUUAGAUAACAGGCAAAACUUGUUUAUAUUUUCCGGGUCUUUGGAACCCUAUAAUAUUGAUGCCAGUUGCAGCUUAGGCUUGUUAUUGCUGUUUUGCAUGCAUGCAUGCAUGAAUGAUUUUAUUCUGUUAUAUUUUACAUUAAUGUUUUUUAUUGUUGUAUUUUAUCUUAAUGUUUCUGUUGUAUGCUGUACUGUAGGCCACCUUGUGCUCUGAUCUGGGGAGAGGGCGGUGUAUAAAAUCUCUGAAAUAAUCAAACAAAAAAAUUUCAGCUGUUCUGCAUUUUUAAGAACCAUUCAUUCUUAACAGGGAAGUGAUCCUGUGUUGUAUUCAGAAAGGAAACAUCGACUACUGCCUUGCCUAGAAUUUUGUAUUUACAAAGAAGCUGGGUUCUACAUUCCUGUAUUUUCCAACCCUCCCGUGCUCUCCUGUCUCAUAGAAUCUUUUUGUACGCUUCUCUGACAUUUGUUUGACUGUCCCACAAUGCAACUUGGGAGCACAGCGAAUUCCAGAUGGCUAUUUAAUUUGCACAAUUCCAUCUGUUUCUGCAAAUCAGCAUGUCUGGGGCCAUGGCCCAUAAUGAACUCUCUGAGUCCAAAAGCACUAUGGUAGCCCUUUAAACACUGAACAAUAUGAAGUUUGGUGAUGGGGUUUCAUUGUCCCCAGAGGUAGCUUUGGAAAGAGAGUCUUUGUUCGUCAAAUUGGCAACUCAGAACAGCUAAUCUUGAUGUCAGUUUCAUAAAUGAGCAUAAUAAGUCCUUUUAAAUGUGCGGUUAGAAAAUGAGCACGCUUUUGUGUCUGUCUGGUGUUUUUAUUCAAGAAGCUGUUUGAGAUUAAAUCUAAGCAAUCGAAGUCUAUUCAACUGCUCCCGUCCUGUAAGCAACACAUAAAUAGGAGGUUGCGUGCUUUGUAUUGAGCUAAGUUUGAACUGUACAGCAGGCCCAGUGCAAGACAUUAGAGUAGUGCCACGGGUUGGCCAUCCUCAGUUGUGGCCACACAUUUUUCUGCUGCUGUCAUAGUUGUGGAAGCAACACAGUGUACUGAACAGUGCCAGAUUAAACCCUGUGGAGGCCCCUAGGCAGUUGAAAUCUUGGAAGGCCCCUUUGCAAAUUAUCUCCUAAUACAUCUUUGUAUUUUUGUUUCAUAAUCAAAUCAAUAUUAUUUUGAUCCAUUGUCGCAGGACCCCUGAAAGGCCAGUGCCUAUUUGGUAAUCUGCGACUGGUACUUCCCUCCUUGCCAGGCCCUUAGAUUUUAGUGGUCAUUGGGUGGCAUUAAGAUUUGGCUCGGUGAAGCCAAGCUGGAUUGCAUCCUUGGAAGCCACUCGCUAUCUUAAUUUACCCAUAAUGCAGUGCCACGGCAGACCUAUAGACAGUGGGUUUUUUCAGGGGGUACGCAGUACCAGCACCUCUCUUUUGUUGUUAAAAAGAGUGGCACUUACUAUAACAACUUUGUGGUGCGUACCGGCACUUCUCUCUCUUUUGGUUAAAAGGUGUAGCACUGUAACAACUUCGUGGUGAGUACCGGCAGCUAUUUUUCCAGAAAAAAAAGCACUGCUUGUAGAUCUAUGAAAUUCAGAGGAUGGGGAUAUUUGCGAUUGGGCAGUCAUCAAACACCUGAAGAUCUGGGCAGGGUGGCGCUUUGUAAGAAGUUGCCUCACCAAUGGCUCUUUAAGGGAAGCAGGUAUCACUCUCUUUUGUAAAGAGCAUUCACCACACCUUAGACCCACUCAGUCUCCCCACACUGGCUAGAUCAUAUUUCCCAGGAGGGAUGAGGGUCAAAAGUGGCCGUGCACAUCCAAGCAUCUGGCCACAUGAAACUCAGCCCACCACACCAGAGCAGGCGUGGUCUGAAACACCUCCUCAGGAACUGUCACAAGCUGCAAGGUUGGUGCAAAUCCAAGUGAUUUUAUCCUACCAAAUUAGGAUAGGGAACCAAAUUAGUUUGGCUCGAUUGCCACAGACUCUUCACCGCUCAAAAAACAACUCUACUGGAUGGCAAACUGAGGCUAUAAAGUAAGCUGCUUCUUUGCCACCUUUAUCACCAUCUUGCGCAAUCAUGUAAUCAGGCAGGAACUUGGUUGUCCUUGCUAUGAGUGUUAAGUUGUGGGUGAACAUAUCAGACGACACAGCGAUUCUUCAAACAGCUCUUGUUUAUUCACAGGCCAGAACAGAACUGAACUGAAGGUUCAGCCAGCCUGCUUAUAUAGAGCUCCAGAACAACGUAAUUGUAACAACUUUCUGUAACUAUCCAAUCACUGAAUGUCACUUUCGAUCCCUUAUUUGCAUAUGUGGACCUGAACUAUCUACAGUAUUCCCCUGCUGGCCCAGGGUGCGAACUUCAGUACAUAACAAUGAGACUUGGACCACUUGUGCUUCAAGUAUCGUGAGGCCAUCUUCAUAGCCCUCAGCUUCCCAGAGAACCAGGAAGCCACAGAGGCUCUGCAGUGACCGAGAGGGGACAGCUGUGUCCAUGGACCUCCGCAUCUCCCCAUUUCACAGUGAGACCAGGACCUCAACAGAAAUCACCAGCCUUGUGAGUCAGAAAACCUUCCAGAACAUUCAAAUUCCAUAAGUCUCCAGGAGUGGACCAUCUUCAUACAGUUUCCCUUCCCUGCAGAAAGCGGGGUUAUUGCUAUCAAUGCAAAUCUCCAUCUUACGUCAGAAACACACAGAAAGAUCUCUACAGUCUAAUUACUUGGUUAUUUGCAAUUUGUGAGUGAAAAUUAGCUGCGCUAGCACAAGCUGUUCCACUCCUUUCCAGUCCACCGUGGAAGGAGAACUUUUUUUUUCUUUGCUGCAAAGUACAGGCAAGGUAAUCAUAUGCCAUUAUGAAGAAAAAGUGGAGAAUGGUCUCUUAAAAUGUAUGUUCCGGAUAUAGUUUGCUUUUAUGCAUAUGAAUGUGCUAAUGCAUCCCUGAUCAAACUUACCAGUAAUGCCUUCCCACAAAUAAUGUAACCCUAUGAACAAGCCACUGAAAGUUUUAUGAGGCUGGGGUCACCAAUGUGUCACCCACAGGCAGUGUUACUUUUCUAGAAAAAGAGGUGCUGGAACUCACUGCAAACCCUUGUUCUUGUAUAAUGGCUAUGGUGCCCACCUGAGAGGUGCCGGAACUGUGUUCCGGCAAGUUCUGGAUGAAAAAAAGCCCUCCCUACAGGAUCAGUGGUGUCCUUGAUAGCCCACAAAGCUAGGGUUGCCAUAUUUCAAAAAGUAAAAACCAGGACACCCCAAAAGUGGAAGACCCCAACAUUGUUGAGCUUUCUUUUAGGAAACCACCGAAACUGCUGAGCUUUUUUUAGACAAACCCCAAAGUUUUUUUACAAAAACGCCAAAAUUCCACCUCUCCCCACAUGACCUGACCCAGGCCCUGCAUUUUUUUCAUUUGAAGCCCAUGUCCACAGGAGGUCCAGAAGGUGUCAACAUAUAAACAGGGCUUCCUACUUGUAGAAACCUCUCUCCAGGGAGGUUUGCAUGGUACCAUCUUUAUUUUUAGGUGCAAGACAAAACCUUCCCCCCCCCCGGCUUUUGGCACUUGAUUUGAAGUGUUUUGAGUACUUUUCGCCCCUUUUGGUGGGGCAGGUUCCCUAUGGCCUGCCUUUUUAUUUGUAUAGCUAUGUUUAAAGUUUUUACUGGUUUGUUUUUUUGUAAUUGGUUUAAGUGUUUAUACUGUGUAAAGUCACUUUGAGACAUUUUUUUGUGAGUAAAGCAACAAUGACAACAACAAUGUCAAUGGGCCCCAAAAGGUUGACAACCCCUCAUAUAAGAUGAUACAGCACAACUUUAUAUUUUCAGUUCAGGCUUUGAAGGACAAGGCAGCCUGUUGAAUGAAAAUAAGUAAUAAAAGGACCCAUUUCCUGCUCUUAUACCAAACGAAUUGAUGUGCUAAGUGCAGUGUGUGACAUUAAGAUUUUUGUGCUUUAUGAUGCACUCUGCUGCAAAAAAAUUAUGUUUAAUGUGAAUUGUAGAUUUCACUCUGUAGUCUAUAUGGAUUGAUUGUUUAUGCCUCUAUUUGCUUCUAUAAACUCGCAGUUACUCUGGUAUUUAGCAGCGGAGCUUCAUAGAGUAUGGAACUAUUCCUUAGAUGAGCAGACCGAAUAAAAAUCGAUGGCAUCAUCCCAAAAGUGGUUGAAAUGCAAUCAAUGGAUGACCUAAUCCCCAGCAAAGCAAAUUACUGUUUUUGAUCUUUUUGUCUAAAUGGAGCUAUAAUGUGGUGUGGAGGAUGUGUUUCUCUUUAGGGGCGAG
RNAcentral lists this transfer RNA (6834 nucleotides) under Podarcis lilfordi (Lilford's wall lizard). The stretch from base 204 to 289 matches the Rfam family "Selenocysteine transfer RNA". Lineage: Eukaryota; Metazoa; Chordata; Lepidosauria; Squamata; Lacertidae. The record is from RNAcentral.